This 542-nucleotide ribosomal RNA is filed under the name uncultured Bacteroidota bacterium. RNAcentral describes it as "bacterial SSU rRNA". It matches the Rfam family "Bacterial small subunit ribosomal RNA", at positions 79 to 617 of the family's 1533-position model. Lineage: Bacteria; Pseudomonadati; Bacteroidota. The record is from RNAcentral.
CUUGCUUUUUGCUGACGAGUGGCGAACGGGUGCGUAACGCGUAUGCAACCUACCUUCUUCUAAGGAAUAGCCCAGAGAAAUUUGGAUUAAUACCUUAUGAUAAUAUUUAUUCGCAUGUUUAAAUAUUUAAAACUUCGGUGGAAGAAGAUGGGCAUGCGUAACAUUAGUUUGUUGGUGAGGUAAUGGCUCACCAAGACUACGAUGUUUAGGGGGUCUGAGAGGAUGAUCCCCCACACUGGUACUGAGACACGGACCAGACUCCUACGGGAGGCAGCAGUGAGGAAUAUUGGUCAAUGGACGAAAGUCUGAACCAGCCAUGCCGCGUGAAGGAUGACUGCCCUAUGGGUUGUAAACUUCUUUUGUAUAGGAAGAAACCCCUCUACGUGUAGAGGGUUGACGGUACUAUUCGAAUAAGCACCGGCUAACUCCGUGCCAGCAGCCGCGGUAAUACGGAGGGUGCGAGCGUUAUCCGGAAUUAUUGGGUUUAAAGGGUGCGUAGGCGGAAAUUUAAGUCAGUGGUGAAAGCCUGCAGCUCAACUGUA